GUAGGGAAUAUUGGACAAUGGGGGGAACCCUGAUCCAGCCAUGCCGCGUGGAGGAAGACUGCCCUCUGGGUUGUAAACUCCUUUUAUAUGGGAAGAACCGUCCUCAUUAAUGAGUGACCUGACGGUACCAUAGGAAUAAGCACCGGCUAACUCCGUGCCAGCAGCCGCGGUAAUACGUAGGGUGCAAGCGUUAUCCGGAUUCCCUGGGUUUAAAGGGUGCGUAGGCGGAUAAAUAAGUCAGUGGUGAAAUCAACGGGCACAACCUGUUAACUGCCAUUGAUACUGGGUAUCAUGAAUAUGAGACAGGUAGGCGGAAUGUUGCAUGUAGCGGUGAAAUGCUUAGAUAUGCUACGGAACACCGAUUGAGAAAGCAGCUUACUAUUUCGUAAUUGACGCUGAGGCACGAAAGCGUGGGUAGCGAACAGGAUUAGAAACCCGGGUAGUCC
This 446-nucleotide ribosomal RNA is filed under the name uncultured bacterium. RNAcentral's name for it is "partial 16S ribosomal RNA". It matches the Rfam family "Bacterial small subunit ribosomal RNA", at positions 354 to 796 of the family's 1533-position model. The record is from RNAcentral.